Molecule: ribosomal RNA, 463 nt
Filed under: uncultured Desulfobulbus sp.
Lineage: Bacteria; Pseudomonadati; Thermodesulfobacteriota; Desulfobulbia; Desulfobulbales; Desulfobulbaceae
Description: bacterial SSU rRNA
Rfam family: Bacterial small subunit ribosomal RNA
Source: RNAcentral
ACAAGCGGUGGAGUAUGUGGUUUAAUUCGAUGCAACGCGAAGAACCUUACCUGGUCUUGACAUCCCGGAGACCCUUAGGAAACUAGGGGGUGCUUCCAUCUGGAAGAAUCUGGAGACAGGUGCUGCAUGGCUGUCGUCAGCUCGUGUCGUGAGAUGUUGGGUUAAGUCCCGCAACGAGCGCAACCCUUGCCUUUAGUUGCCAGCAGUUCGGCUGGGCACUCUAAAGGGACUGCCGGUGUUAAACCGGAGGAAGGUGGGGAUGACGUCAAGUCCUCAUGGCCUUUAUGACCAGGGCUACACACGUACUACAAUGGCCGAUACAAAGGGCAGCGACACUGCGAGGUGAAGCCAAUCCCGUAAAAUCGGUCUCAGUCCGGAUUGGAGUCUGCAACUUGACUCCAUGAAGUUGGAAUCGCUAGUAAUCGUGGAUCAGCAUGCCACGGUGAAUACGUUCCCGGGCCUU